Long non-coding RNA from Micropterus salmoides (largemouth bass), 1140 nucleotides. RefSeq lists it as uncharacterized. The record is from RefSeq and is a predicted model, not a curated record. Lineage: Eukaryota; Metazoa; Chordata; Actinopteri; Centrarchiformes; Centrarchidae. The transcript is spliced from 3 exons.
CCACUGAGUUGAGUAUGUCAGCAAUAACUGCAACAAAACAUUUCGAGUAACUUUUGAACAGUCCUGCUCAUUGACUUGAAGGUCAGGACUGUUGACUUGGCCUUUCCAAAACAUUCACUUUAUUCUUCUUUAAGAGUCUUGACUGAAAACUAAAGGGGACAGAGCGUUUGCUGUCAGGGCCCCGAGGCUCUGGAACAGCCUGCCCGAGGAAAUCAGCAUCCUCAGCUCCACCAUCACUGCUGCUAGCAUUUGGGGAUUCUCCUAUUUCUGGCAGCCAUUCAUCAUCACCACCACUACUAUUGACUAUUACUGAAAUACAGCCAGCGAUGUAUGUCCCAUUUAGUGUACAGAUGAGUAAUCGUAGUUUAACAAUUGUAUUACUCCUUAGUUGUUAGUAGAUCUUACCAAAUUUUAUCUACGUGCAGGGGUCUCCUAUAAUUGGAGGAGUGGCAAGAUUUACCUGAGCUGCUCAGCGUUUCUGAACCCCGUAGGCCAUCUUGGUUUUGACAAAUUUAAGUUGCACUUACAACAGCUUACCAGAGGGUGGCAGUGUGUGACAUGACACUAGUGUCCACUGUAGUGGCUGAUGUGCAACUAGACUAUCAGAACCUCUGCCCAUUCAAAUAAAAUGCUUUUGAAUAGAUGUCCACUGUUGAACCACUAUGCAUGAAAGGGGUUUUGAUUUUAAUAUGUAUUGGUCAAUAAUUAUCUACCUUUAUACUAUAAAGUUUCUUUGUAUCUGUUUUUGUAUCUCUGUGUCUGUAAAGCAUUUUGAAAGACUGUAGUGUUUGGAAGGUGCUGCAUAAAUGACCUGAUUAUUGCAGAUGUGUUUUAAUUUAAACCUCAUUCAGUUAUUAUGAUUCAAUUCAGCUAAAACAAUCAACAACAAACAAACAAAACUUUCACUGGAUGCGCUCUCCUCCACAGCUCCUCCUCCCACCGACUCCACUCUGGUCAGACUGCUCUGCCAUCUAGUGGUCAUCAGUCUACACUGCAUCUAUAUUGGCCAGAUGGUGUGAGCAUCCUAAUGUAAACUAUCAGACUCUUAAACUAAAUAAAAUUGCUCCAAGAUCCUGGUUUGUAUUUUCAGUUUCAGAUUCAACCUUGAAUAUGAAUAAUUAAAGGUGCAUCAAUCUUCAA